CCUACGGGUGGCUGCAGUGGGGAAUUUUGGACAAUGGGGGCAACCCUGAUCCAGCCAUUCCGCGUGAGUGAAGAAGGCCUUCGGGUUGUAAAGCUCUUUCGGCCGGGAAGAAAUCGUGCGGGCCAAUACCCUGUAUGGAUGACGGUACCGGAAGAAGAAGCACCGGCUAACUACGUGCCAGCAGCCGCGGUAAUACGUAGGGUGCGAGCGUUAAUCGGAAUUACCGGGGGCGGUUGUUGAGGAGGGGUGUGAAAUCCCCGGGCUUAACCUGGGAACUGCGCUUGUGACUGCAAGACUUGAGUGCGGCAGAGGGGGGUGGAAUUCCACGUGUAGCAGUGAAAUGCGUAGAGAUGUGGAGGAACACCGAUGGCGAAGGCAGCCCCCUGGGUCGACACUGACGCUCAUGCACGAAAGCGUGGGGAGCAAACAGGAUUAGAUACCCGUGUAGUC
RNAcentral lists this ribosomal RNA (450 nucleotides) under uncultured bacterium. RNAcentral describes it as "partial 16S ribosomal RNA". It matches the Rfam family "Bacterial small subunit ribosomal RNA", at positions 338 to 795 of the family's 1533-position model. The record is from RNAcentral.